AUGGCACCGCCGCGGAUCAGGAGGAGGCUCUGCGGACCUACAUUGUCCAGCUGCACCCACGCGGAUCUUCGAGCACGACUGGCACCUCGCCUUCAUCGUCAAAUCCUUGCCUUCCUCAGUGGAGCAAGAUGCAAAGCGCCAGUGGAAGCCGUCGUCAAGGCUGUUGUACUCUUACCACACCGUGUUCGACGGCUUUGCGGCGCGGCUCACGGUCGGCGAAGCGGCAGCUCUGCGGGCGCUGCAGGGCGUCGCGUCGGUGCGCGAGGACCGCCGGGUCGAGCUGCACACCACGUACUCGUACCGGUUCCUCAGCCUUAA
This 318-nucleotide ribosomal RNA is filed under the name Triticum aestivum (bread wheat). RNAcentral describes it as "partial small subunit ribosomal RNA". Lineage: Eukaryota; Viridiplantae; Streptophyta; Magnoliopsida; Poales; Poaceae. The record is from RNAcentral.